Molecule: small nucleolar RNA, 75 nt
Organism: Neogale vison (American mink)
Lineage: Eukaryota; Metazoa; Chordata; Mammalia; Carnivora; Mustelidae
Source: Ensembl
GAGAAAGGAUGAACAUGCUAACAUUCUUCAUGCCAAAGUGAAAAUGUAAGACCCAACUCUGAGCUCACCCUCUUG